AAUAGCCCGGGUAGUCCACGCCGUAAACGAUGAGUACUAAGUGUUGGCCUUACGGGUCAGUGCUGCAGUUAACGCAUUAAGUACUCCGCCUGAGUAGUACGUACGCAAGUAUGAAACUCAAAGGAAUUGACGGGACCCCGCACAAGCGGUGGAUCAUGUUGUUUAAUUCGAAGAUACGCGAAAAACCUUACCAGGUCUUGACAUACUCUGCAAUGGCUUAGAAAUAAGUUCGGAGGUUAACAGAAGUACAGGUGGUGCACGGUUGUCGUCAGCUCGUGUCGUGAGAUGUUGGGUUAAGUCCCGCAACGAGCGCAACCCUUAUCGUUAGUCACCAUCAUUAAGUUGGGGACUCUAGCGAGACUGCCAGUGACAAACUGGAGGAAGGUGGGGAUGACGUCAAAUCAUCAUGCCCCUUAUGACCUGGGCUACAAACGUGAUACAAUGGCUGAAACAAAGAGAAGCAAUAGGGUGACCUGGAGCGAAACUCAUAAAAGCAGUCUCAGUUCGGAUUGAAGUCUGCAACUCGACUUC
Molecule: ribosomal RNA, 531 nt
Filed under: uncultured bacterium
Lineage: Bacteria
Description: bacterial SSU rRNA
Rfam family: Bacterial small subunit ribosomal RNA
Source: RNAcentral